UGGAAGUCUAAUGAGUCCACGUUGAUGA
RNAcentral lists this small RNA (28 nucleotides) under Bombyx mori (domestic silkworm). RNAcentral's name for it is "ovarian small RNA-34479". Lineage: Eukaryota; Metazoa; Arthropoda; Insecta; Lepidoptera; Bombycidae. The record is from RNAcentral.